Molecule: ribosomal RNA, 499 nt
Filed under: uncultured bacterium
Lineage: Bacteria
Description: bacterial SSU rRNA
Rfam family: Bacterial small subunit ribosomal RNA
Source: RNAcentral
GAGACACGGCCCAAACUCCUACGGGAGGCAGCAGUAGGGAAUCUUCCACAAUGGACGAAAGUCUGAUGGAGCAACGCCGCGUGAGUGAAGAAGGGUUUCGGCUCGUAAAGCUCUGUUGGUAGUGAAGAAAGAUAGAGGUAGUAACUGGCCUUUAUUUGACGGUAAUUACUUAGAAAGUCACGGCUAACUACGUGCCAGCAGCCGCGGUAAUACGUAGGUGGCAAGCGUUGUCCGGAUUUAUUGGGCGUAAAGCGAGUGCAGGCGGUUCAAUAAGUCUGAUGUGAAAGCCUUCGGCUCAACCGGAGAAUUGCAUCAGAAACUGUUGAACUUGAGUGCAGAAGAGGAGAGUGGAACUCCAUGUGUAGCGGUGGAAUGCGUAGAUAUAUGGAAGAACACCAGUGGCGAAGGCGGCUCUCUGGUCUGCAACUGACGCUGAGGCUCGAAAGCAUGGGUAGCGAACAGGAUUAGAUACCCUGGUAGUCCAUGCCGUAAACGAUGA